UCGCAUCCCAGAAGAGGGGUGCCGACAGGGCACCCAGCGCGUCGUCCUCUCUGCUCCUCUCCUCACUCCCCCCCUCCUCUUUGCUCCCCACUUCCCUAACCCUAGCCCCUUUCUACGCCGCCGCCGCCCGUUCCCUCGCCCUCUCCUGGCGCCACCCCCGUCCCUCCUCCUCUCUCGUCACACAGCCGCCCCGCCACCCACCGCCUCGAACCGCGAGCGGAGGGAGGACGAUGAGCACGACGGCGACGGUGGCAGGGAGCAGUAGCAGCAGCAGGCCUUGGGCAACGCCGACGAGCGACGAGCAGCAGCGGAAGGAGGACGAGGAGCACGAAGGCAGCGGUGGCAGGGAAGUGGUGUAGGGCGCCGCCAGGGCCGUGCUGGAGCGGCUCGACGUGCCGGCCACGUGCUCCGAGGAGCCGGCUUCUAGCAAGGUUAUUCUGAAGUCUGUGCUUCGUGACAAGUUGGAACUAUUGCCUUUGGCCAUAUUUCAUGGGAUGUUGUACUUUUUUGCGGGGUCAAGUAACAUCCCCCUGGAAAACGAAAUUCCAACUUUGAUUACAUGGAGUCCAGGAGGAAAUGAGUUCUGGAAAUGACAUGCGAAAAUACUAAAAAAUCGAUAUGAUUACUUCAAGAAGGUGUUAGAGAGAUCUGGGAAAGAUCAUGCUGUAUCGUUGGUUCUGACAUCUCGAAUAUAUCAUUGCAAGAUGAUUGUUGAUGGGGUGCCGAGACAUAUGUCUGAACUACCUCAUGUGACUGAUGAAAGAGGGCAGGUGGCCGACCCCCUUGAUAUCCAUGCCAGUAAGGAUUAUAUAUGUCCGUUUUAGCAUUUUGUUCAUAUAUAUGCCAUUCAGUAAUGACUGCAGUCUCUAGAUUUGGAUUCAGAGAUACUGUAGUGUGUGCCCUAUGCUGAAUAUUAUAAUUGUAGGAGCUUGCAGUCAAGCUGAUUUAUUGUCUCGAGAAGUGGGCAUUGGGAGUUGUUAAUUGGCUGAACAUGUACCUUCUGGGAGUUGUUUUAUUUGAUGGUCUGGUAAGUGACUUGCUUCCAGCAAUGGUUAGUUGUUUUUAUAUUUUGUUACGGCUACUAGAUGGGUGAUUGAGAUUGAGACUGUAUUCAACUGUUGAUUUUCUUGAUGUGCCUAAAUUUGGUAUGAGGUGUUUGUGUGUUUGGAUGCUCUUCAACUUUUCUGGUUAUACUAGAUACUAAUCUACAAUUCUAUAUAUGCCAUGCUAUUCGACUUUUCAUUUUCUUGAUCUACCUGAAUUGGUACUAUAGAGAUGUCUGAUGUAUGCGUGCGCGUGUGUGUGUGUUUAGGCAGUUUAGCCUCCUAUUCGUUUCAACACUUGGUUUUGCUUUUAGGAGAAUCAAGGAGGUUCUGUUAGGAGAAUUUCCUUUUGGUUUCCAUGGUUAAUUAAUCCUGGGACUAUUCAAAAAUGUAGAUAUCUUCAGUAUAUAUCUAAAGAAUUGUGUGUUCAUGGGCAACUAUACGUUGUUUUGUCUCAUGUACAUCAAGAGAAUUGCUAAAAAUACUUACUGAAGAUGAAAAUGUAGAUUGUACUACUGAAACUCAAAAUAUUGUUUACCCUUGGGGCCUUCUGAGAUAUCAGUGUACCAUCGUGGUGUUAUAUUUUGCAUUGUGUUGUCUUUUUUAUUAGUUUCAGGUUCAGCUGCCUUCGUAUGUGCAUAUUCUUUUGGUAUAAUCAUAGAACGAGAUAGUCGAUUCAUCUUCUUUUGCCGUUUGGGAUGGUACUUUCGUCCGAAUAAUAAAUGAUUGGAUGUAGGGAGAGGGGCUGUAUCUCGAUACCCUGUCCUCAUCAUGCUAAUUGCAUGUAAUCUUUUUCUCUUUCAUAUAUCUGUUGGUAGUUUUUCUUUUUGAGGUUGUUAUGUCCUCUCCUGAUUAUUCCUGUCCCGAUGAUUAAUUCUAAGAGAAGUGCUUAGGUACCCCCCCGCCCCGCCAACAAAACAUAGAAGGGCAGAAAGGUCAUAUGGAAGAAAUGUAUACCCACCUCGUAUCGUAGAUGUACAAUCCCGGUCAUACGAAUAAACGUGACUAAGAAGGAAAAAAAACUUGCACGACCACUUGAUCGAUCCUGCCUGCCGCCCGACUAGAGAAAAAAAAAAACGCUGAUCGAUCAGGCCUGCCGCACGGCGAUCACGCGGCGGCUGAUCUGGAUCGUCACGGGUGGGAUGAGGAGUGGAAGACCGCUGUCGCCGGUGGCUGGCCAAGUGUUGGACGUCGCCGUUCUUCGCGUCGAUGGCCGCCUCUAACCAGCCCAAUCUCCCACGCCGGCGGUUCCAACCCCGUCGUCUCCCACAUCAUGGUCGGCGGUUAGGCAAGUGGCCGGCCACGUCUUGGACAUCUCUGUCUUCCGCAACGACGCCGCGUUCGCCGCAUGUAACCGUCCGGACGUCCCAUGGAGCCUACCACACUCGUCCAAAAUGCCGACGUUGACCUAACUUGUCCGCCGCUGCGGCUCCGUCAGGUACUCCCUCUUGUGGAUUCAUCGUCUUCCACGUCGCUGCCGUCUUCCACGUCGCUGCCGUCUUGAAUCAUGCCGGAGGCCCAUGCCUCAAGGCCCCAUCGGCGUUGACGGACGACAUCGAUACCACCGCUGAAGUGUUGGUAGUAACAUGUGUUUAAAUUGACGAAGAAACCUCAUUUACAACUGAUGAGAAUGGUACAAAUGAUGUCAGUCGGACCGAUAACGAUCCUAGUAAUGAAGAUGACAAACAACAGCGAUAACGAUUCGUGGUCAUAAUAUGAUAUCUUACCUUCAGAGGAUUUUGCAAAUAAUGAACAUGGUGCAAACAGUGAAAAAGAAGAUGUGGACGUUGAGAAUGAGCAAAAUAAUCAUGAGGAAUCGUGGGCCGAUAACUUGAGCCAGGAGGGCUCAGAUGGUCUUGAUGGUGGCGACGACGAAGCAGAGAUGGACAUUGAGGAGGCUCAAUACCAACAACAGAAGUUGGAGACACAUUGGAAGGUCAUGGCUAUGUCUUUUUGGCCACAAGGGGAUGCAUACAUAUUCUACAACAAGCAUGCCAAAGAACAUGGGUUCAGCAUCAGGAGAGAGAAGAUGAAACGAGGGAAGGGUGCUUUAGGAAUAAUAUGGUUCAGGCGGUUUGUUUGCUCUAGGGCAGGGAGAAGGCAGAGGAAAAUCAUAACCAUGGAGGGUCGCACCCGUAGGCUUAGACCCGAGACUCGAUGCGAGUGCGGUGCGUAGAUGGUGGUGAAAUUGGACAGGGCACGUGGAGUUUGGUUCGUCGUGUCAUUCGUGGAUGAUCACAACCACGUGAUGGCUCGACCCAAUGAGGUUUGUUUUCUGUGGUCACACAGACGGAUUGGAGAUGGCACGAGGGCAGAGAUACUGGGUAUGCAAGGGGUUGGAAUCAGUAAGCAUAUAAUGGUGGACAACUUCAUCAGUAGGUGCGGUUUGUACGAGAAAUGCGGACUUAUUAGGCGGGACGUGUACAACCUUUGCUGCUGGGAGAAAAUGAAGCUCAUUGCAAAGGGUGAUGCUGAGACAGCAGUGGGCAUUAUGAGGAGUAGAAAGCAGAAGGACCCAGACUUCUUUGAGUAUGUGCUAGAUAAGGAAGCACGGUUGAAGUGUAUGUUCUGGUGCGAUGCAUAGUCGUGGAGGGACUAUCAGGACUACGGAGAUGUGGUCAUGUUUGACAACAUGUAUAAGAUGAACAGAUAUGGUAUCCCGUUCGCCCCCUUCGUCGGUGUUAAUAACCACCGUUGCACAACAGUUUUUGGUUGCGCCAUUGUUUCCAACGAGACCGAAGCGACGCAUGUGUGGCUGUUCCAUACUUUUAUGAGGGCAAACUGUCAGCAGAAGCCAAAGUCAAUUAUCACAGACGGUGACGCUGCAAUGAUCUGAGCGAUUUGGAGUGUCCUUUCAGAUGUUCUCCAUCGUAUUUGCUCGUGGCAUAUCGAGAAAAAUAUGCAGACACCUACAUUACAAGUCACUGGAUGAGUUCAGAUCGCUCCUGUACUAUGCCACCUGUCAAGAGAACUUUGAGGAGAGAUUUUUUUGACUAUUGACUUUGAGGAGAGAUGGACUGCCUUUGUCAAUAAAUGGAAGACGGAUAAAAUUGAAGAGUGGCUGAACAGGAUGUAUAGGAAGAGGAGACUCUAGGCAGCAUCAUAUCUUUCAGAUGAAUUUUUUCUUGGUAUGCGUAGUAACCAGAGGGGCGAAAGCCUGAACUCCUCCCUUCACCUUGACCUCAACUAUGGUAUGACCAUAGUUGAUUUGGUAGUGCAUUAUGAGAACUGCAUAAUUUGCCUCCGUUAGAACGAGGUGCAUGAUGACUGCGAGGCUAAUCAGAAAGUACCACCGGCGGUUACUGAAUAUAAGGACAUUGAGGAGCAUGCUGCCAAAGUAUUCAUUCCUGCUAAUUUCUACAUUCAGCAAAAUGAUUUGAAGAUGAGAGAACUGGAGAUUUUUGAGACGCUAGUGAGAAUUGAGCGUCAGACCUUCAUCGUGACAUGGCAGAAUAACCACAAGUUCAGGUAUAAUGUUGUGUAUGAAUCAGGUAACUCGGAGAACUGUAUCAUGCAUGUGUCACAUGAUGGUUCGAAAAGGGCUGCCUUGCAAACACAUUCUCUUUGUUUUGCAUCAUCUUAAAUUGUCUGAAAUACCAAAGUGUUGUGUCCUCCAUCGAUUGUCGAAAGAUGCGAGAGAUAGGUUGCAGUGCAGCGCAAGGGUGAUCUUUUUGGUUGGGGUUGGUCCGGGCCAGAGGAGAGAGAACAGUAUACUCAAGUGAGCAUAAAAUCUGCAGAAGCUGCUCAUGUUGCAGCAAAUGAUCCCUUCUUGUUUUAUGAAUUGAUGAAGUGCCUAGACGAUAUAAUAGCAAGGAAGAAGAUCCCGGAAGUGGAACUCAUAUGACACAGAAGGUGUGCUCUAAUUGUGGAGCAGGCAAUUCAAGCGGAAGAAGGUGCAACAGGUAUACGUGAUCCUGAGAAAGUUUCAACGAAGGGUGCACCUAAGAAAGGCCGGUCAAAGGGUGGCCUGAUGUUACGAAAAAUGGUAGACCAAAUUUUUUUAGCGAGAAGCAAAGUGGUCCAUUGUGCAGUCUUUGUCAUUUCCCAGGUCAUAACAAGGCGACAUGUAGUCUAAACGAGAAGAACCGGGCAUAGAGAAGUGGCUUCGAUUGUGGGAAGAAGAAAACUGGUUACACGAGUCAUGUCGGAAUAACCUAUAUUGUUAUUUAUUUAUGUGAACAUGUGUGCGGCACCAAGAAACUUAAUAAGUGUUUUGUUUAUGUUUCUCAAAAUAACUAUGUGAAUAUCUAUCAUAUGUACUGAAUUAUGAUUAUCAAAAUAUUUAUGUGAACAUC
Molecule: non-coding RNA, 5338 nt
Organism: Triticum urartu
Lineage: Eukaryota; Viridiplantae; Streptophyta; Magnoliopsida; Poales; Poaceae
Source: RefSeq, a predicted model, not a curated record